Molecule: long non-coding RNA, 1056 nt
Filed under: Vombatus ursinus (common wombat)
Lineage: Eukaryota; Metazoa; Chordata; Mammalia; Diprotodontia; Vombatidae
Description: lncRNA (ENSVURG00010002834.1)
Source: RNAcentral
CAAGAUUUAUCUGUGUGUAGAGAAGAUAAAUUGAGAUUUUAUGAGAGGCGGAAUUCUCUGAAGACCCUUAGAGCUGAUUUCAUCACAGUGCCAUUCCCCCUUCCUCUAGUCUGCUGUUUAAAGGAAAUUGUUCAACUUUGACAAAAUUACUCAGGAUGUGAAAAAAAUGUUUCCAAGUAUGGAGUGUUUCAUUUUCUGCCAUUCCAAUGCUGGACUUCAAGAGUGCUCUUGCUCUCACUCUCUCUCUCUCCUUCUCUCUCUCUCUCUCUCUCUCUCUCUCUCUCUCUCUCUCUCUCUCUGUUGCACUCUCUUUCUUGCUCUAUCCCUUUCCUCUAUCUCUGUCUCCCUCUCUAAUCCUCUCUCUCUCUCUCUGGUUCUCUCUGUCUCUCUCACUGUCUCUGUCUGUUUUGCUCUAUCUCUGUCUCUGUCUCUCUGUCUUUCUCAGUCUGUCUCUUUUGCUCUAUCUCUGUCUCCCUCUUUGUCUCUGUCUCUGUCUCUUUUUUUUGCUCUAUCCCUUUAUCUCUGUCUCUCCUCUAUCUUGGGAUCUCUUUCUUUCUUUCUCUCUCUCUUUCUUCUUUCUGUUUCUGUCUCUCUCUCUUUCUCACUGUUUCUGUCUCUUUUGCUCUAUCCCUCUCUUCUAUCUCUGUCUCUGUCUCCCUCUCUGGCUCUUUCACUGUCUCUGUCUUUUUUGCUCUAUCUCUGUCUCCCUCUUUGUCUCUGUCUGUCUCUUUUUUUCCCUCUAUCCCUGUCUUCUAUCUCUGUCUCUCCUUUUUCUCAGGAUCUCUUUCUUUCUUUCUUUCUUCCUCUAUCUCUUUCUGUCUGUUUCUCUCCUCCCUUCACUCUUAUCCUCUCAUUUGUUCUACACUUCUCCAUCAGUCUCUCCUGAACAGUUGCUGGGUGCUGACUUAAAGGCAGUGUGGAAUAACAGAAAGAGCCAUGAAUAAGGGAGUUAAUUCAAAUCCUGGGUCUACCACCUAAUGCUUGUGUUGUUUGGGCCAAAUCACCUCCCUUGUCUUCAGUUUCCUUAUCUGUGGAGAGCUCCUUCCACUUCUAAAU